This 109-nucleotide ribosomal RNA is filed under the name Intestinimonas massiliensis (ex Afouda et al. 2020). The record is from RNAcentral. Lineage: Bacteria; Bacillati; Bacillota; Clostridia; Eubacteriales. RNAcentral also lists the same sequence under 1 other name.
UGGUGUUGAUUGCGGUGAGGGUCCACCCGUUCCCAUUCCGAACACGGCAGUUAAGCUCAUCUGCGCCGAAAAUACUUGGCUGGCGACGGCCCGGGAAGAUAGGUAACGC